RNAcentral lists this unclassified non-coding RNA (234 nucleotides) under plant metagenome. RNAcentral describes it as "partial contains small subunit ribosomal RNA, internal transcribed spacer 1, and 5.8S ribosomal RNA". The stretch from base 1 to 55 matches the Rfam family "Eukaryotic small subunit ribosomal RNA", at positions 1778 to 1831 of the family's 1831-position model. The record is from RNAcentral.
GGAAGUAAAAAGUCGUAACAAGGUUUCCGUAGGUGAACCUGCGGAAGGAUCAUUCAUAAUAAAGUGUUUUAUGGCACUUUUUAAAAAUCCAUAUCCACCUUGUGUGCAACGUUAGAUCUCGUCAAUCUUGGCGAGAUUUUUAUACAUCAACUCAUUCUUUAACUAAUUUGUCUGAAAAAUAUUAUGAAUACUUAAUUCAAAAUACAACUUUCAACAACGGAUCUCUUGGCUCUC